CUGCCUUCAUGGUCGGUGGUGCAGUUUGUCCUGUGACUCUUUCUUCCUGUGGUUCACCUGCUGCUGUUUUUUUUUUUGUGUAUGCCAGUUGCUGUUUUUGUUUAGGCCAGUUAACUGUUUGGUUUAUUCUGUUUUGAUUUAGUUUAUAUUGUUUGUUUAUAUUUAGCUUUUUUUGCUUGUUUUGUUUAUAUUGACUGGGUUAGCUUGUUUUGCCUUUCUCUUUAUAGUUUAGUUUCAGUUUAGUCUUUGUUUAGCCAACUGGGGUUCCUCUUUGUUUGUUUAACCUUGUUUUCAGUUAUUUAUUUUCCGUUUGUAAAGCUGAGUGCCGGUCACUGGGGGGGCUAGUCACCCUCAUUAUUUGUUGUGGUGAAGAUCACCGGGAAGCACGAGUGAGUGACCUGUUUGCUGUGUGUGGUUUUCUGUGGCUGCACCUGAUGAGUAUUUGGUUGCACCCUAGUGUCACGAGGAGUAGCCUGCCACCCCAUUAACUGGCCUCAGCUCACUUUAGAUUUAGUUACUUGUUUUUAUAGAAACAAGAAACUUUAAAUGUUACAUUUUAGAUAACAAUUUUAAUCCCAUUAUAUAAUAAAGAUCCUUUUAAAACUGAGUAAUUCUUGUUGUUUUAUAACCCAUUAUUUUGUCUUCCAGCACCGUCUUCCUGAGUUUCCUUUUUCUUUUGAUUUACAAUUAACAAAAGUGACUUUAUUCUGAAACACGUCUCUGCCCCUCAGUCCUGAACCUGUGUCAUACUCUUUUUAUGUUUAUAUCCUGGGGUGCAAGUCAACAGAUGGCGUUGUCGGUCCUCCAUCCCACUUCGUUAUAAUUUAAAUGUAACCACCAUCAUCACAGCUUAAUGAACCAUACACAGUAAAAACAGCAAUCACAGUAGUAUCAUACCUUGGCAAAUCGGUCUGAUAGUCCACUCUCCGUCCUCUUUGCAUGUAGUUACUAAUGAGGUGCCUUGACGGUUAGAAAUCCAGUACUUGUCUCCACAAUUUACCGUCACUUCGUCACCAGGUGAAAACGUGUUUCUAUAAGCAGGUUCAUACCUGGUUCCUUUCAGCGCUGGCAGUUGUAGUUUACUUUUUAUUGCUGUAUGUGUUGGAACAGUACACAUAUUAUACGUCAGAACCAACAUUUAUUGGUAAGUGUCACCAGCACAUUGGAUAACUCUGUUUAUCCUUACGUUCACACAAAGGUGUGGGGCUCCAUUCUGCUCUUACUCCUUGCUUUGUGCAUUUUGAAUCUCUGGCUUCAGUGCGUGUAAACGAGGGUUUACACCGAAACUCCAGGACUUGAUCUUCUUUGUACUCUUGGAUUUCUCCAAGCAUAUCACCAUUUUCAAUCUCGGGUGCUAUACAUAUUAUCUCUGUUGAAUAAUACCCAAGCAAGAAUAAACAUUUCUUUAGGAAAAGGCAAAUGGAAAGAAACACAAGACACUUUGUAUUUCCCGUUUCACACCCUGCAAUACCUUUGCAUCUUGGAACUUGGUCUACUCACCCUCCAUUUUCAUCACAAUAGAUCUGUUGGCCCAAUUAACACUUCAGUGUUGGAUUUGCAGCUGAAUCGAACUACAUUGCCAUAGGUUACUUCAUCCAUGUCCCCAUUCACAAGGACAUUAUUGUUCACAUGGACAUUAUUGUCCUCAUGGAUUACUGGACACUGUUGCGGUGAAACAAACAAAACCAAAACGAACCAUUUCAAAAUGAAUACUAGUCUCCAAGAAAGAAAUUUAGGAUCAGCCUUUGAGGGAAAAUAUAGUUGUUGGGUGCUGUACAUAUUAUCUCUUUUGCAUAAUACACACAAGCAAGAAUAAAGAUGUAUUUAGGAAAAGGCAAAUGAAAAAGCUGUAGUGUCGAUGCAGCCUGUAACAAUGGGGUGUUGGAGGGUAUGGUUGUAUAACAUCUGUUGAUGUUUUUUAACAGAAAGUUCAUAGCUGGUUCCUUCUGGUGUUGGCAGAUUUAGUUUACAUGUUUUUGUUGCACUGUCCUUUAGGACUAGUUUUCAGUUGUAUGAGUUGCUCAAUUCACACAUACAGUAUGUUCACUUUAAGUCCUGGAUCUGGUUUUAUUCCUAUAUAAUAAAUGUGUAUUAUAUAUAGAAAGGCAGAUGGACUAAUAAAUAAAUCCCCCUCUACCUUCCUGUUGUAACAAAGUAUCCAUCUUAAGGCAUAGUAUAAAUAACCUAACAAUGUAAAAAAUUACGAGCACCUCUCCCCUACAACACACAAACACAUACUCUCUCUCUUUCUCUCUGAUUGGUUUACCUAUAUAUACAUUGUGUGUAUUACAGUUUUUUACAGUUGCUAACACACUAAAAUGACAUGCAUAGCACAAUUAUUUAAACUGACACACAGAGAGCAAAACCUCUUAAGUCUCCAAAACUCUAAACACAUGUUCUGCUUUACACACAUUUUGCAAUUCAAAAUGGCACGUUUUAAAUGCACUGAACACGGUUUCCUUGCAUAAGACACAACAAUCUGACAUAAAGUCACAUGUUUGCCAUAUCAAAACACUGCCAUUCAAAAUAACAUUUCAUGAGCUAAUUGGCCAAAAUAUUUGCCACCUGGCCAAACACCUCAAUGCUUAGUUGUUAGCACUUCAAUCAGGAAGUAAGCACUAUAAAAGCACCACAGGUGAGCAUCUUUUUUUACAACAACAAUGGAAAACGUCGCAGAGAGAGGAAGAGUGAGAAUGAGAGGAGGAUGAAGAGUGAGAGGUAGGGGUAGAGCUGGUAGAGGAGUUCAUGGCCAAAGACAACAACUUUCCAAUGAAAUCAGAGCAACCUUAGUUGAUCAUGUCAUCAACCAUGGGCUGACAAUGCGAGAGGCUGGACAGAGAGUGCAGCCCAACUUGAGCCGUUUUACUGUCGCCUCUGUCAUUUGGACAUUUACACUGGAGCACAGGCAUGUAACUAAAGGACUGAGAGAUGCAACCAUGGUGGAGGAAGGGGCCUAAUGUUCACCGGGGUACAGGAAGCUGCCAUUGUAAACUUGGUUUCGGAAAGUAAUGAAAUCAGAUUAAGAGAUAUUCAAAGUCACAUCAUCCAAGACAACACCGUAUUCAACAGUUUGUCCACAUUGGCUCGCAUUUUCGAGCGAAACCAAAUCAGUAUGAAACAACUUUAUAAGGUGCCUUUUGAGAGAAACUCUGAAAGAAACAAAGAGCCCAUACCACCGUAUGAAUGAUGCAGAGCAUCGAAGAAACAGGUAUGUUAUAGUAUGGGACAACGUGAGCUUUCAUCAUGCAGCCCCAGUCCAAACCUGGUUUGCUAACCACCCACCAUUUGUCGUGCAAUACCUCCCACCAUACUCACCAUUUCUGAACCUCAUAGAAGAGUUCUUUUCAGCAUGGCAGUGGAAGGUUUACGACCGGCAGCCCUUUGUGCACAUGCCUCUUUUGCAGGCUAUGGAAGAGGCAUGUGAUGAAAUUGAUGUGGGUACGAUUCAGGGAUGGAUAAGGCACUCAAGGCGCUUAUUCCCUCGAUGUCUGGCAAGGGAAGAUAUUGCCUGUGAUGUGGACGAGGCGUUGUGGCCAGAUCCAGCUAUGCGGCGAGAUGCUGCCUAAUUACAGUAUUUUUCUCGCCUCUUUUUUUUAUAUAUAUUUUUUCUGCACAUUUUUUCUGUAAUUUUCUUUUUCAGUUUACUGUUUUUUGUUAGCAUAUUUUUGUU
Molecule: long non-coding RNA, 3670 nt
Organism: Eleginops maclovinus (Patagonian blennie)
Lineage: Eukaryota; Metazoa; Chordata; Actinopteri; Perciformes; Eleginopidae
Exons: 3
Source: RefSeq, a predicted model, not a curated record